GAUUAACGCUAGCGGCAGGCCUAAUACAUGCAAGUCGAACGGCAGCACGGGUAGCAAUACCUGGUGGCGAGUGGCGCACGGGUGCGUAACACGUAUGCAAUCUACCUUUAACUGGGGAAUAACCCCUCGAAAGAGGGGCUAAUACCGCAUAACACUUCGAUGGGACAUCCCAAUGAAGUCAAAUCUACGGAGGUUAAAGAUGAGCAUGCGUCCGAUUAGCUAGUUGGCGGGGAACGGCCACCAAGGCAACGAUCGGUAGGGGAUCUGAGAGGAUGAUCCCCCACAUGGUACUGAGACACGGACCAGACUCCUACGGGAGGGCAGCAGUAAGGAAUAUUGGACAAUGGGC
RNAcentral lists this ribosomal RNA (349 nucleotides) under uncultured bacterium. Its description in RNAcentral is "bacterial SSU rRNA". It matches the Rfam family "Bacterial small subunit ribosomal RNA", at positions 28 to 376 of the family's 1533-position model. The record is from RNAcentral.